UGCAAAGGAAAGGUGAUCAGCCGACUCUGUAAUAACAAUACCCCUCCAAAAAUAGCAAGCAGAUGUGGUGUGUGUAUCGACAGUGCUAACCUGCAGUAAAUCGCCGUCCAGAAAAAGCAUACCCCAGAAAAAUAUCAAGCUAGCACAACACCAACUACAUUCAUGAAAAAGGAAGCAAAUAAUAAAUGAGUGCAACCUGAGUGAAUCUAAAGGGAAAGAGCAAACGGGCAAGAACCACAACAUGCCACCAACCGUUGAGUAUUAUAUACAUCAAUCACAAACAACCUAUGGGCAUGCUUGCUUGUGAAACCUCCAGCUUUCCAACCGUGCAAGCAAGCAAGCAAGAUCCCCUUUUCAUGCAAGAUUUCAAGCAGACAGGACAAGUGCGUGCAUACAAAAUGCAGGACAGGAUCCACAUUUGACACAUGCUCCGGAGCUAAUUAAGACUAUUUUGGAGCCGAGCUUUCUUGGCUCACUGCGGCCACCGAGAAUAAGGUGUGUAAACAUGACACUAACAGCAGAAGUGUCACGAGGUGGGUCAGAUCUGAGUGAAAGGUACCUUUCAACUGGCUUUCGUGUUCCCCUGGUUGCUUCGAGUCGAGAUGGAUGUGGAUGGUCCCUGAGGUUUCUCCAGCCGGGUCUACAACUGGCUUUGUACUUGCGUUCCGAAUUUUCCUGCAGAUAUGUGCCACAGAAGUUCAAUACCAUUUUUCCCGGCCAUGAACUUGAAAUGUAUGCCGCAAUCAGCAAAGAGCCAGAAGGGCCCAAUAUUUUAUCCAGGUGAAAAGAAAAAGAGGGCCUGAAACUAGAGAUUUCUUUUUGAUCCGGUUCACUGAAACUAAUAAAGAAAAAAUGAAUCAGCAAGAACACUGAUGCAAAUCCAGUUCACUGGUGGAGUGGAGGAACACAAAAUUGGAUCCUUUUUCUUCUAGCGGACAAAAGAAAUAACCCCACAGAAUCCCACCCUGCUGUCCAGACUCGAGAGCGUGUACAGAGGAAAACACAUGCCUCAACUAAUCUUCUACCUAACAAUGCAGCCUCCGCGUCACCCCUGGCCUCUGAAUCUCUGAUCAACGGCAGUUAAUAAGAACACUGACCACCUACUAAUCCCCAAACCCAAAAUGUCCCUUGGUUUAACCGCCGGCGACAAAGAGUCGGAAAUCUCCGUCGGGCCGCCGUAAAUCCGAAAGAAAGCGCAGGCGGGCGGGCAGGAAUGCCGUCCGGUCCGGGGAGAGAAACUAGAAGGCGAAACCGGAAUGAGAUUGCGGCGGGCCGACGGGGGGGAGAAGAUCAAGAGAGCACGUACCUGGUUCUGGUUCUGGUUCUGGCUGGAUUCUCCUCGGAUUGCUCGGUCGCGAGCUCCUGGCGGGGAUCCGGAUGACGCUGACGACUGACGCAGUCUGGGGGAAGAGAAGAAGCGGCAGGAGUAGCGGGGAUGACGAUGACGAGGGAGCUGUGGGGGAGGGGGAGAGAGGAGCGGAGGGGAGGAGGUGGGGUGGUGGACUGAACUGACUGGUGAGUUGGGGGACUGGUAACUGCUCGAUGAUGGUGGUGGUUCACGAGGCGCGCGCAGGGGUGGCGUCUCGGAGGGUGGACCCAGUCCAC
Molecule: long non-coding RNA, 1605 nt
Filed under: Triticum aestivum (bread wheat)
Lineage: Eukaryota; Viridiplantae; Streptophyta; Magnoliopsida; Poales; Poaceae
Description: long non-coding RNA (TAES_LNC024838)
Source: RNAcentral